GUAGACAUAGUUUAAUAAAAACAUUAGAUUGUGAUUCUAAAAAUAGGGGUUGAAGCCCCCUUGCCCACC
Molecule: transfer RNA, 69 nt
Filed under: Larimichthys crocea (large yellow croaker)
Lineage: Eukaryota; Metazoa; Chordata; Actinopteri; Sciaenidae
Description: tRNA (ENSLCRG00005000030.1)
Rfam family: tRNA
About the family: Transfer RNA (tRNA) molecules are approximately 80 nucleotides in length. Their secondary structure includes four short double-helical elements and three loops (D, anti-codon, and T loops).
Source: RNAcentral